This 405-nucleotide ribosomal RNA is filed under the name uncultured bacterium. RNAcentral's name for it is "bacterial SSU rRNA". It matches the Rfam family "Bacterial small subunit ribosomal RNA", at positions 356 to 775 of the family's 1533-position model. The record is from RNAcentral.
GGGGAAUAUUGGGCAAUGGGCGCAAGCCUGACCCAGCAACGCCGCGUGAGGGAAGAAGGCUUUCGGGUUGUAAACCUCUGUCCUUGGUGACGAAAAAAAUGACGGUAGCCAAGGAGGAAGCCCCGGCUAACUACGUGCCAGCAGCCGCGGUAAUACGUAGGGGGCGAGCGUUGUCCGGAAUUACUGGGCGUAAAGGGUGCGUAGGUGGCCUUUUAAGUUGGAUGUGAAAUACCCGGGCUUAGCUUGGGGGGUGCAUCCAAAACUGGGAGGCUAGAGUGCAGGAGAGGAAAGCGGAAUUCCUAGUGUAGCGGUGAAAUGCGUAGAUAUUAGGAGGAACACCAGUGGCGAAGGCGGCUUUCUGGACUGUAACUGACACUGAGGCACGAAAGCGUGGGGAGCAAACAG